Molecule: ribosomal RNA, 460 nt
Filed under: uncultured bacterium
Lineage: Bacteria
Description: partial 16S ribosomal RNA
Rfam family: Bacterial small subunit ribosomal RNA
Source: RNAcentral
CCUACGGGUGGCAGCAGUGAGGAAUAUUGGUCAAUGGCCGGAAGGCUGAACCAGCCAUGCCGCGUGAAGGUCAGUGCCCUAUGGGCGUUAAACUUCUUUUGUGCGGGAGCAAUAAUGGUCACGUGUGGCCAGACGAGAGUACCGUACGAAUAAGCAUCGGCUAACUCCGUGCCAGCAGCCGCGGUAAUACGGGGGAUGCAAGCGUUAUCCGGAUUUAUUGGGUUUAAAGGGUGCGUAGGCUGUGAGGUAAGUCAGCGGUGAAAUGCCCCCGCUCAACGGGGUGAAGUGCCAUUGAUACUGCCUGGCUGGAAUGCGGAUGCCGUGGGAGGAAUGUGUGGUGUAGCGGUGAAAUGCAUAGAUAUCACACAGAACACCGAUUGCGAAGGCAUCUCACGAAUCCGCGAUUGACGCUGAUGCACGAAAGCGUGGGUAUCAAACAGGAUUAGAUACUCUAGUAGUC